AAAACACACAUUAAUUAUCCUUAGGGUCAUAGGAUAAACACAAAAACCCUACAAAAACAAGUUAGCACACCCUAAAAUGGUUUUAGUACGAUUACUAAUCUAUGACUCUAAUACCAAUUGAUGGAAAAAACAU
RNAcentral lists this microRNA precursor (133 nucleotides) under Vitis vinifera (wine grape). Its description in RNAcentral is "MIR845_2 microRNA precursor family". It matches the Rfam family "MIR845_2 microRNA precursor family". Lineage: Eukaryota; Viridiplantae; Streptophyta; Magnoliopsida; Vitales; Vitaceae. The record is from Rfam by way of RNAcentral.